UACGAAGGUCCCGAGCGUUGUUCGGAAUCACUGGGCGUAAAGGGAGCGUAGGCGGCAUGGUAAGUCAGAUGUGAAAUCCCGGGGCUCAACCCCGGAACUGCAUCCGAUACUGCCUUGCUUGAGGGUUGGAGAGGUGACUGGAAUUCUCGGUGUAGCAGUGAAAUGCGUGGAUAUCGAGAAGGAACACUCGUGGCGAAGGCGAGUCACUGGACAACAUCUGACGCUGGAGGCUACGAAGGCUAGGGGAGCAAAAGGG
RNAcentral lists this ribosomal RNA (256 nucleotides) under uncultured bacterium. RNAcentral's name for it is "partial 16S ribosomal RNA". It matches the Rfam family "Bacterial small subunit ribosomal RNA", at positions 524 to 776 of the family's 1533-position model. The record is from RNAcentral.